This 497-nucleotide ribosomal RNA is filed under the name uncultured bacterium. RNAcentral describes it as "partial 16S ribosomal RNA". It matches the Rfam family "Bacterial small subunit ribosomal RNA", at positions 28 to 507 of the family's 1533-position model. The record is from RNAcentral.
GAUGAACGCUGGCGGCGUGCCUAAUACAUGCAAGUCGAGCGAACAGACGAGGAGCUUGCUCCUCUGACGUUAGCGGCGGACGGGUGAGUAACACGUGGAUAACCUACCUAUAAGACUGGGAUAACUUCGGGAAACCGGAGCUAAUACCGGAUAAUAUAUUGAACCGCAUGGUUCAAUAGUGAAAGACGGUUUUGCUGUCACUUAUAGAUGGAUCCGCGCCGCAUUAGCUAGUUGGUAAGGUAACGGCUUACCAAGGCAACGAUGCGUAGCCGACCUGAGAGGGUGCUCGGCCACACUAGAACUGAGACACGGUCCAGACUCCUACGGGAGGCAGCAGUAGGGAAUCUUCCGCAAUGGGCGAAAGCCUGACGGAGCAACGCCGCGUGAGUGAUGAAGGUCUUCGGAUCGUAAAACUCUGUUAUUAGGGAAGAACAAAUGUGUAAGUAACUAUGCACGUCUUGACGGUACCUAAUCAGAAAGCCACGGCUAACUACGUG